UGGAUGGUGUAAAGCUCCGGCGGUGCAGGAUGAGCCCGCGGCCUAUCAGCUUGUUGGUGAGGUAGUGGCUCACCAAGGCGACGACGGGUAGCCGGCCUGAGAGGGCGACCGGCCACACUGGGACUGAGACACGGCCCAGACUCCUACGGGAGGCAGCAGUGGGGAAUAUUGCACAAUGGGCGAAAGCCUGAUGCAGCGACGCCGCGUGAGGGAUGACGGCCUUCGGGUUGUAAACCUCUUUCAGCAGGGAAGAAGCGAAAGUGACGGUACCUGCAGAAGAAGCGCCGGCUAACUACGUGCCAGCAGCCGCGGUAAUACGUAGGGCGCAAGCGUUGUCCGGAAUUAUUGGGCGUAAAGAGCUCGUAGGCGGCUUGUCACGUCGGUUGUGAAAGCCCGGGGCUUAACCCCGGGUCUGCAGUCGAUACGGGCAGGCUAGAGUUCGGGUAGGGGAGAUCG
This 456-nucleotide ribosomal RNA is filed under the name Streptomyces sp. 1CM6. RNAcentral's name for it is "bacterial SSU rRNA". It matches the Rfam family "Bacterial small subunit ribosomal RNA", at positions 193 to 664 of the family's 1533-position model. The record is from RNAcentral. Lineage: Bacteria; Bacillati; Actinomycetota; Actinomycetes; Kitasatosporales; Streptomycetaceae.